Molecule: ribosomal RNA, 444 nt
Filed under: uncultured prokaryote
Description: bacterial SSU rRNA
Rfam family: Bacterial small subunit ribosomal RNA
Source: RNAcentral
UAAGGAAUAUUGGGCAAUGGGCGAGAGCCUGACCCAGCCAUCCCGCGUGCCGGACGAAGGUGCUCAGCAUCGUAAACGGCUUUUGGGUGGGAAGAACGGCCUGCACUUGUGCGGGUGUGACGGUACCACCAGAAUAAGCACCGGCUAACUCCGUGCCAGCAGCCGCGGUAAUACGGGGGGUGCGAGCGUUAUCCGGAAUUACUGGGUUUAAAGGGUGCGUAGGCGGCCCGCUAAGUCUGGGGUGAAAGGCCAGGGCUCAACCUUGGGACCGCCUCGGAUACUGGUGGGCUUGAGUUGGGAUGAGGUCGGCGGAAUGCGGCAUGUAGCGGUGAAAUGCAUAGAGAUGCCGUGGAACACCGAUUGCGAAGGCAGCCGACUGGCCCUUAACUGACGCUGAGGCACGAAAGCGUGGGGAGCGAACGGGAUUAGAUACCCCCGUAGUCC